GGGGAUGUAGCUCAGUGGUAGAGCACAUGCUGUGCAUGUAUGGCUCCCAGGUUCGAUCCCUGGCAUCUCCA
Loxodonta africana (African savanna elephant) is the source of this 71-nucleotide transfer RNA. It matches the Rfam family "tRNA". From Rfam's summary of the family: Transfer RNA (tRNA) molecules are approximately 80 nucleotides in length. The record is from Rfam. NCBI's taxonomy places the organism in Eukaryota, Metazoa, Chordata, Mammalia, Proboscidea, Elephantidae.